UUUAAUUCCUCUUCUAUUGAAUGUUGCCAUUUAUCCUUAUUUCUAGAUGAUAUAGCUUCAGAGUAUGUCUGUGGUACAUUUUCAUUAUCGGGAACUUCACCUGUACAGAGGAAUAUAUAUAGAGCUUUCAUCAGAAUGAAAUGAAUCAUCACUGCUCGUUACUGUACUUAUAUUAUUUGAUUGAGAACUAUCUGAUGAAGUUUCAUACAUCUCUGUGCUGUCCAUUAAAGGCUCUGUUUCAUUA
Melitaea cinxia (Glanville fritillary) is the source of this 244-nucleotide long non-coding RNA. RefSeq lists it as uncharacterized. The transcript is spliced from 2 exons. Lineage: Eukaryota; Metazoa; Arthropoda; Insecta; Lepidoptera; Nymphalidae. The record is from RefSeq and is a predicted model, not a curated record.